Molecule: long non-coding RNA, 207 nt
Filed under: Gossypium raimondii (Peruvian cotton)
Lineage: Eukaryota; Viridiplantae; Streptophyta; Magnoliopsida; Malvales; Malvaceae
Description: long non-coding RNA (GRAI_LNC002695)
Source: RNAcentral
GGAAUUAUGGGACACUCAAUAAAGAAUUACAUUACCUUCAAAAAGCUAGUUGAAAAAUUCAUCAACAUGGGUAUUGUCAAGUUGGAUGGCUCAUUUAAUACAGAAAAUUCGCUACCCAAUCAUGAUUGACAAUGGGGUGAAUGCAAUAUAUGAGGAGAUGUUGGGAAGUGUUCACAUCAAUGACAUAUAGGGAGACACAAAUGAAAG